UACGUAGGGGGCAAGCGUUGUCCGGAAUCAUUGGGCGUAAAGAGCGUGUAGGCGGCUCGGUAAGUCUGCUGUAAAAGUCUGGGGCUCAACCCCGGGAUGCCGGUGGAUACUGUCGAGCUAGAGUUCGGAAGAGGCGAGUGGAAUUCCUGGUGUAGCGGUGAAAUGCGCAGAUAUCAGGAGGAACACCAAUUGCGAAGGCAGCUCGCUGGGACGGUACUGACGCUGAGACGCGAAAGCGUGGGGAGCGAACAGGAUUAGAAACCCCAGUAGUCC
RNAcentral lists this ribosomal RNA (273 nucleotides) under uncultured bacterium. RNAcentral's name for it is "partial 16S ribosomal RNA". It matches the Rfam family "Bacterial small subunit ribosomal RNA", at positions 524 to 796 of the family's 1533-position model. The record is from RNAcentral.